This is a long non-coding RNA of Ictalurus punctatus (channel catfish), 710 nucleotides long. RefSeq lists it as uncharacterized. The record is from RefSeq and is a predicted model, not a curated record. NCBI's taxonomy places the organism in Eukaryota, Metazoa, Chordata, Actinopteri, Siluriformes, Ictaluridae. The transcript is spliced from 3 exons.
GUCCUUUGUUGUGUUGGUGUUACAAUUUGGAGGUGGAGACAGAUGCAAGUGCAGAUUUUCAGUUUUAAUGAAGAUGCCUAACAAAAAGCAAAACAAGAGCUAUGAACAGCAAAUGAAACACUAAAGUGUAGCACCCAGGUGUGGGUUAUCAGCUUUAGCAGGGUGAAAAGAGAGACGUCCAGUGGAACAGGAUGGCAGAACUUAAUCGGCCUUGUCAGCAGACUCUGGUGUCAGCAGUUUUUGGCGUCAGCAGAACUUGGUUGGCGUCAACCUCAGACAGGGACUGGGUGUGCUCUUUGAGGUUCAAGUGUGAGGGGGGUCUUUUCCACAAGUCAUCAGAUUACAGCCAUUAACUUCAGCUGCAACCACUUCAGCAGAAGGACAGGGAGAUGGAGAGGAGAACCUAUGGGAUCUCUUGGACAAUAAGAUAAGUGAGACACAAAGUUCCACGAUGUCACUGCAGAUGCAAAAGUUGAAGUACAACUAUACUUAAAUACACGUUACGUUAACAGAACAAGUGAUCCACUGGAGUUGUGGGAAAAACAUCAAACUUUCUUCCUUCAUUUCUUCCACCUUGCCAAAAAAUGUCAAUACCAGCUACAUCUGUGCCAUGUGAAUGAGUUUUUUUUUGUUGUUGUUGUUUUCCAAAGUAGGAGAAGUUCUGUGCAAGAAGAUUAAUUAUUUAAGUGCUAAAACACUAGAACAACUUC